Molecule: long non-coding RNA, 14886 nt
Filed under: Solanum melongena (eggplant)
Lineage: Eukaryota; Viridiplantae; Streptophyta; Magnoliopsida; Solanales; Solanaceae
Description: long non-coding RNA (SMEL_LNC000041)
Source: RNAcentral
UAAGCAUAUUUUGCACACACCUUUUCCACACAUUUAUAGGCAUGUGUCCACUGAGACCUGGAUUGAUAUCAAACUGGGCAGACACAACACCAAACAGAAUUUCAAGCUUCUGUGCUGGAGUCUUGGCCACCUUGGUCAAGAAGGUGAGCUGUUCGACCAAUUCCAUCUUUCCAGUCCCCUUUCUACCCCUAGCAGCAACGAUUUCCUUGAACUUCUUGUUGACUAUCUCCCACGUGAUUUGACUCGGAUCUUUAAACUGUUUAUCUAGAAGUUUGUCUUUCUUGUUCACCUUCUUCUCCCACCCAUCACCUAUCGUUUCCGGAUCAUCAUCAUCAGAUGCAGAUGCAGCUGCAAUCUUUGUUGGGUCCUCCUCAAAGUCGUCCUCUUCUUCUUCCUCUUCCGACUCUUCAUCAUCACCACCCUCCUCCUCGCUCACUGGAGGAUUUUCCCUAUACUUAUUAAUCAACUCCUCGUACUGCUUAUUAUUCUUUUUCAGUUUCUGUUUCAUUGAAUUUAAGGCUUUAGCAUUACUACUACUCAUCUUCUUCCUAGUCUCCUUGUUGGCCAAGGCCUGAUUCAAGAAAUCCUCCAGCAUCACUAGAGCUUUGAUAUAGAGAUUUGGUGGUUUAAUAGAUUCUGUAAUGCGCAUGACCUUCUCCAGCUGCUUAUUAAUCUUGUCAAAGCUCUCCUGCAAGCUAACCCAGUCAUUAAUCUUCAUAGCAUUCUUCAUCUGAUCAACUGUAGCUGACAACUCCUCAAAACGCUUGUCCUUGGCUGACCGGACAACUCGCUUCUGACCAUCCGAUUCAUCACUAUCGCUAUCAUCAGCUGCAAGAUAUCUUGCCCCAGGCCCAGACGGUGCAUCUGGAUUUUCAGCUGGCGCAUCAUCCUCCACCUCGUAAUCACUCUCCUCCUCCUCUUCCGUAUCACUAUCACCCUGCAAAUAUCAUGUAUGGACAAAUCAGACUACACAUUCCCUAACCGAACCAUAUUUAGGGUUCUAGGCAAUAAGGACUAUCCAAAAAAGACUAUCACAUUACAAAAACAAAUUACUCAUUCACAGCACCUCCGUUUCGUCUAUAGAUUUUGUUACUCAUCCAAAUACCAAAUAAAAAAACUAAAUCCUUAUCCAGUGAAAAUACAAAAAAUAAAACAAAAAUAGAACUAAUUGAAAAAUAAGUUACCUGAGUCCAAAAACGGGACGCCAUAACUUCAACUAGUUCUUAAAGAAUCAGAUAUAGAAUAAGCUGCAAUUACACAAAAAAAUAAAUCAAAAUUGAGGAUAAAUUAUUGUUUUAUACAAACGACUAAAUGUUGAAGGAGAAAAGAUCGAACCUGUAAGUUGGAACUGUGGAUUACGGUAAGUUUGCAGCGGAGAAUGAAUGAAGAGAGAAUGAGAUUUUUCAGUAAGAACCCUAAAAGAUGAUAAGGGUUUGGGCCGACUCGUCUUUGGUCCAAUUAUAAAAGGACUACUACAAGUCUUAAUUUGGUCUAAUUGUGUGGCAAUAAUUAGCGGAAAAAGAAAUAAAUUACAUACUUUUAAAAUGGAAAUAAUCUUUUGUCCCUUAUAAGUUUAUAAUGAUAAAAAUCUUUCAAAUGAUAUAAUAAUACAAGCGUUGAUACAUUAAUUUGAUGUGCGAGAUACAUUAAUUAUUAAGUAAGAUACAUUACAUCUAUGAUACACUAAUUUAAUAUACAUUUUAUACAUGAUAUAUUAAUUUGAUGCGCGAGAUAUAUUAAUUUAAUGUGUGAAAACAAGAGAUUUUGAAAAUUUAUAAAACUAAUAAGAAAUAAUUAUAAUAAGAACUUAAACAUGGAAUUUCUGUCAUUUAUCUAAUAAUAAAAGAAUAUUAACAACAAUAGUAAUUGUAAGUACAUAAUGUAAACAUAACCAAAUUAAUAUACUAAAUAUUUACAUUUUAUUUAUAAAUGACGUGUAAAUUUAGUUGAUUUGUAUAGUAAUUCUUGUAUGUAACAUAUUAUAUCUUUCUUAUGUCGGUAAGAAUAUUAGUAAUAAUAAUAUAGUUCCAAUUACAUAAUGUAUACAUAAAAAAAUGUUGCAUAUGUACAUAAAAUUUUAUCUAUAAUUUAAUGUUACGUGUGUACAUAAAAUUUUAUGGAAAUUCAUAUACAUAUACUAUAAUAAAAAAAUAUUUAUUAUUUAUGGCAAUAAUUUUUUUUUAUUUGAUCACUUUUAAUUCACUUAUAAUACAAGUUUAAUACAUAUCAUAAAGAUAAAUUUAUUAUUCAAAUAUAAUACAAGUUUUAAUGAUGGAUUGAUGGUUCACACAUUUUAAUACACUUAUAAUACAAAGUGACAAUUUUUUACCAAACAAACAUAAUAUAUUUCAAAAACAAUUAUAAUUCAAAUAUAUUGCAUACAUAAUUCACUUUUAAUACAUGUUACAGAUUUAUCACAAUAUUACUAUAAAUGGUAAUAAACAAAAAAUAUUCCUAAAAUCACUAAUUAUUUUUAAAAUGUAUUUAUUCAUGUAAUUUUUUCAAAUUUUAUCCAUAAUAAAUUAUGUGUAAAUUUAGUUGAUGUAUACGAUAAUUGCAAUAUGUAUAUAAAUGUUAUAUUUUAUUAGUAUACAUUAUUAUUAUACAUGACUAUUUUAGGAAAUGAAGAUAGUAUUUUCGGUCUUUUAUAAAUAAAUAAAAUUUUAGGGUUAACUACAUGAAUACACCUAUGAUGUGAUUUUAAAUUUUGGAUACGUAACUAAUAUACUACUUUCUUCAUUUCAUGUUAAUUUAAUUUUUAAGGUAUUUUAUAUUUAGUGCGGGUAAGUUUUAUCCAUUUCACCCCUUUAAGAAAAAUAAAUUAAGACAUAAAUUGAACCUAAUUUUUUAUUUUUACCCUUAUUAAUUAUAUUGUUAAAUUUAUAAUACUAAAUAUUGAUUAAUUACUAAUUUCCAUACUGACUAAUGAAAAGUAAAAUUGAAAGAUAACUCUAAUAGUAAUUUUGAAAACUGAACAAUUAAGUUAAUUUAAAAAAUAUCUUAAAAUUAAAUUAAUAUGAAAAGGAGGGAUUACACAUCAAUAUUCUCCUUAUUCAAAUGUUUUCAAUCUUGCUUUUUCACAUAUCUGUCUAGACACACCUAUUAAGAUAUUAAUAAUUGACAUAGUAAGUUUAUCAUUUAUCCCUAUUAAUUGAACUAAAUGAAUUAAAAACUUAGCAUUUUCAAAAAAGUUCUAUCUUUUUCAAAAUAAUUAAUAAUAUGCUUAGAUUUCACAAGGAAUAGAAGUUUUUGUCCAGCACUAUCCUGACUUGAAUAAUUUUUGACAACACAAAACACGAACAUUAUGUGAGAACUUGUUCCGAGGAAAUUGAGAUUACACUGUUCAAAGAAUACAUGAUUGGUUACGUUACAUUCAUAGUGUGUGUAGAUGAUACAUCAAAGUAAAACAGACAUGCAUUGGGCAUUUCUUGAAGAAUUUCACUUGCUAGUGUCCUAAUAAUGCCCAAACUACUAUCUAUGUUCAAGGGUGUGCACAUCCAAGUUUCAUCUAGCUUCUUUGUCUCAGAAUCUAAUAUCAAAAAUAAAGAACCUACACUCAGAUGAGGGAGGCACAAACGACGUAUUAAAGAUCAUGGUUUCCAAGGAGCUGGCGGAGGUGGUGGAGUGGGAAACAUCGGUGGUACUGCAGAGAAUAAAGUGUUCUUAUCAAUUCCGACAUCUCUAUCUCCAGAUAGAGCCACGAGAGCUGCAACUAAACCAGCAUUUCCAGCAAGAGUAGGCUCCGUAUAAUUGUAAUUAGAACGGACAUCACGGAAACCAUCAUGCUUGUCUGGUCCAGCAACCAUGGCUCCAACAAUAGUAUUUGGAUUAGCCUUAGAUGAAUCCCUAUAUUUCCAUCCACCUUUACAGUUAUAUUUGACCUUGUUUUUAGGAAUUGAUGCCCCUCUGUGGUGGACAUGCUUAGGAUAGUGAUUGCCAAAGCCAACAACAUAACUCAUUUUCCUGGGGUUCUUCCCAAGGAUGUAGUCAAUCUACAAGGUCAAAGAAACGUCCAAGUUAAAACCAAGAAAUGAUUUUCACCUUACAACAGAAUAGGCAAAAGAAAACUUGUGUAUAUCGUAUCUCUAAUAUUCUACACACCCUAGCGGCAAAUUAUCAUUCAUAUUUGUCCCUAUUGUCCCCAAAACAUGAAGCAGAGAGAAGGGAAGUUGGUUGUGGAAUAGCAUAAACAACAACCAUUGACAAGAUAGAACCCAAGAAUAAGAAAAGAGACUCUUACUAGGGGAGAUUCAUUUACCUGGGUUUCUGCAAAUUUACGCAGGACAUCAGUAGAGUAGAAAUUUGGUCCACAGUACCAUCCAGGAGUGUCGGCAGCUGCGAGAUAGUCACUAAACAAGGUAGCCAGGAAGGCUGCAUUGACUACAUACUGGAGAGGCUGAGGCCUUCCAUGGUUUAAUUGGAUAAGCCCUCCUGGAAAGGUCAAAAAGAAUUGGUUUAGAUUUCAAACUAAAGAUUUCAAAUUACUUUGACGCGAACUGGGUAAUGAAGGUUACCUUUUGUGCGAUUAAAAGAAGUGAAGAUUGGCAGGUAGGAGCACAUGAUUAUGCUAGUCUGGUUAUGAAAUGUCCUUAAAAUUUCUUCAUAAGGAUAUCCAGGGCUCAGAAACAGCCUCAUACGGCUCAGUAGCACCUGAAGAGAUAACAAAAAGCAGUGUUAUAGCAAAAAAUAAGUCCCUCGAAGAAAUGAGAUAUCCUAGCUUAUAAGUCUCAAGCACAAAAGCUGCACAGAAAUACUAGAGGAGGGUAAAAGGAAAGAAGAGGUGAUAUUGACUGACCUGAGCUCCAGUGAGCUUGUUAUCCCAGCUGAGCACACCGUAAUCAGGACCUCCCCAGAAAGCACCAGCAUGUUUGGCAAUACCAGGUGUUGUAGCAAGCUGAAGAUAUGAAGAAUUUCCAGUAGCAUAAUACAGCCAAGCCGCACCCCAUAUAAACUCAUCCCAAUAACCGGUGGAAUUAUAGAAGGUUUCAGCUUCAUUGCCGACGCUGUAUCUUCCACGCUGGUCUCUAGAAAAUUUGAAGAGAGUUCUAGCACCAUGUACAAGCUUUUGCGAGUAAGCUUUGUUGUCCUUAAAAACAAUGGAGGCAGAAGCCAGCGCAGCAGCCAUCUCUGCAGCAAGGUCCGAGCAGCCGUGACAUUCAGUCACAGGCCGAGCGUAAUCAAUGUCUUCAGGACGCACCCAGCAAUAGUGAUCAUUGGGGUCAGUAGCCCCUCCGGUAGUAUCCCCUUUUCCAACCUAAACAAAACAUAAUUUGUCCGAUGAGAUUAAUUAAUUCAGAAUAAGUUCAAUUUUGACUCAAACACUGUCAAAAUACAAUUUCAUGCAGUCAUUGAUGCUGAUCUGAUUAACAAGGAGACUUAUCUUAGUGAAAGUCAAAAAGCCAGCCAAGAGAUUAUAGUUAUUUUAAAUGUUUAAGAAGUAUAAUGGGAAUCAUGAUUUCAUGACUCAGACGGGUAAGGCGAUGAUAACUGGUUAGAGCUGAAUACUAAUUACUGACGAUAGAACAAACUAUGACAUUCUAGUUGAGAAAAUUUGUGAUCUACACAUUUAUAAGGAAAAUUUAAAUGAUAAUUACCUGUGCAGCAAUCCGGUCUAUGGUAUCAGCAGAGGAAUUGAAAGUCUUCAGGAGAUAAUCAGUACCCCACUUAAUAGUAUCUUUAACAUGAGCGAGCUCCCCAGCAGCUUCAUAUUUAGCACUGUACUCGAUCACACUCCAACUCAACAUGGUGAGAGCAAAUGACUGAGGGAAAUUAAACUUGAUUGCAUCUCCUGCAUCAUAAUAACCCCCAACCAAAUUUUUGAACAUAGUUGAAUCAUCUGACUUGCCAUCUUGCAAACAUGAAUUCCCCCUCCAUGACACGUUAUUAUGCUUGGGCAAUUUUCCAGCUGUAAAUUCCAAUAGAGAAUUAGCAAAAAACUAAGCUAUAACCAAAGAAGACCAAAACAUCACAUUCAAGCACUAAAUUUAAAAAAUAAUAUUUUUGCAGCUCAAAUCAUGUAGCUGCUGAUGCAGUAAUCUUCCAAUCUCAAGUCAAAGGCACGUAGAGCCAUUCCACAUAUCAUAUAUAAAGAUAAAUGAAAAAAAUAUCAUAUUCUAUAUCAAGUGACCUUGAUCAACUUAAAUACUAACUUCACAUAAGAUAAGGGGGGUAAGGCUGCGACACUCUACCCUCCUCGAACCCCACUUAUACUCUUAGGAUUACGGUGGGCAUGUUGUUGUUCAUUACCUUAAUCAACCAAACUAACCAAAAAUUUGGGGAAAAUAAUAAAUAUUUCCAAAUCAAAGCAAACAAAACAAGAAGAUCAAUACAGAGGACUGAAUCAUGCUUCACUAAGAUCAUACAGUUUCCAACUAUCAAUCUAUCACAAACUAAAAUCCAGACAAAAAACAUGAUCAAUAACAGAUCUAAUGUGCAAUGAGAUGGUAAAAAUCAGAUUUUUAAGCCCACAGACUGAAGAAUUCAAGCAAAUAAUAAACAGAUAACUUACAUUUCUGGGCAUUGAAGAACAUAAGAGCUUUACGGAGAGCCAGAGUAUAAUUAUCCGGUGGAGGAUUGUGAUGUUUGUGUCUAGGUACAAGCUUAACAAUCAUAGUAAUGAAUCCAGCUAGAAGCGCAGCCGCAAUAAUACACCCCACAGUCCACUUAAAAAUCUUCCUACUCACAAUAAUACAACCAAGAUCCACAUACUUCUUCUUCUUCUGCUCAGUCGGACCCAACAGCCAGCUCUGUUGAGUCUCAUCCAGUGACCUAGACAUCGCUGCCCUAUCAAAAUCCUGCAAGUUCCUGCUCCUGUCAUCGUCUGUAGCUGAAUCAGCUGUGUGGAUCUCUAAAGGUCCACCCCAUGGAUCCCUACCGUACAUAUUGAUUCUGGGUACUCAAAUUAGAGCUGAAAAAACACCCCCACAAGCUCAAAACAUGCAAAGGUUGAAUCUUUUUUCCAAGAUUCAAGAAAUGCUGAACUGGGUAAGUCUUGAUCUACUGUUUUUUUUUUUUCCUUUUUUCAAGAAAGUUGUGGAAUGAAAGGAGAUGGCAGAAAGGAUGGGGUAUUAUGGAGGAAGGAGGAAAGUGGGACUAGAAAAUCUAGUGGAAAAUAAUGGAUAUAUGAAAGCUGUGAUGGUGCUGUUUUUUUGGCUUUUUUGAUUAUAACACAAUAUAUUUAAUACUAGUAAUAUUACCAAACUUGAGAAAAAGAAAACAAAAGAGUGAAGUAAUGCAGAAGAAAAAUAUACACAAAAAAAAAGGAAAGUAGUAGUAGUUGAUGACACUGACAAAACAGCUAAUGGACAAUGACAACCUGUCCAAUGCCAAUCCUCCUCCUUUAAUGGGGUGUUUUACUUUCUAAUUUCGUAUUUUAGCUGUUAGGACAAAAUCUCCAUAAAUAUAAAAAAAUUCGAAACUUACAAUGUUUAAAAUUACACAUCUAAGUCAAUACUUGUUGAUAAAUAUAUAUAUGUUAUUGCUCGCUUAUUUGUGUGAUUUAUUAGCUAUUAUAAAUUUAAAAAUAGUUGUUAUAAAAAAUAAUAAUAAUAAAAAGAUGCAUGGUACAAGAGAAAAUUAUGGCUCAAUAACAUAGUAUUAAAAGUUAGGUGGAUAAACUGAUUUUAUUCAGUGGGAUUGCUUAAUUUAGUUGACUUUCACUUCAAGGCUAUUUGCUAUUAUUUUCAUACCUAACCACUAAAAAAAUGGCAGGGGCAAAAUUGUAAUUUCAAAGAGGGAACCAGCUGACAUAUUGGAUUGUAGUAUUUUUAGCCACACCAUAUUCAAAGAGACAGAAUAUGAAAGAUGAUAAAUAAAAUUGUCCAAAUAUAAAAAAAUGAUUCUCUUAAUAAUUAAGUUUUGGUCUGAGAAAAGACAGUAACACAAAAAUCCUACUCCUACAUUUACAUUCCCAUUCCCCACUAAUUUUAAUGAUUUAUGGAGUCUGGUUUUUCUGUCUCUAAAAUAGAAUCUCCACAGUAGAGGUUGUUGUUUUCAAGGCAACUCAAAUCCCCUUACUUCACUCAACAACAAAAAAAAUAUAAUUUUAUGAUUCAUCAGUAAUAGAAGUGUUAAAAUUAUCUUCUUUUUUUAAAAAAAAAUUGCACUUUGUAGAUGGAAAGGGCAUGUUUUUGCUUGUAAGGUUUAUGACAAGUAAUAUUAACAUUUUAUUUUUAUAAAAAUAGUAAACCAAAAGAAGAGAUCCUUGUCUAUAAAUCUGUUAGGCCAAUGCAUAUCAUAGAGAUCAUGUUUAGUUUGCAAAUGUUGACAACUCCACGAUUUAUUUCUCAUUCAAGAAUAAAUAUCAUGUUUUUUUUGUUAAUUAAAGGAUAAUGACGCGGCUGCAUGUGAAAGAGAGAUACAAAGUCAUCAUCAUGUGCUGUGUCGGUAAAGAUUAUCUUUUUUCCUUUAGCUGGAUGGAAUUAUGGUUUAGUUACAAAUUAUUGGUUUCUUCUCCAUGUUGAAUAUUUCAAAAUUAAUCCCCAAUCUUCAUUAUUCAUUAAAAUAUAUUCUUCCCUUUUUGUUGUAUUAUUGUCCCCAUAAACGUUAUGUGGGUUCCUCUUUUGGUCACUGAACAUGGUGGGCCUUAUGCCAAUAUAACAGCCCAGUGCUCAACCUGGUCAUCAACAGAGCCCACCCACUUAUGUGAAAUGUGCAUUUGAUGAUUCAAAAGAAAAUUUAGCAACUUCUAACUAUUAUUAUUACUUCUUCCUUCCCAUCAGAAUGCUAAUGAGUGAGCAUAUUGGGAGAAGCAGUCCACUUAACCAGAUGUGUGCAGCAGCAUCUAGCAAAGACAACACUCUAGUGUGUAUCUAUUACGAGCUAAUAUUUGAUGCAUAUUAAGUUUAAAAUGAAUUGUUGUGUCAUUAGAUGAGAAAAGCAGUGCAACAUCCAAAAGAUGCUCUACAAAGUCACAAAACAAUGUAGCACAAUGGAACUUGGUCUUAUGAAACAAAGAAAGCUGUAAACUCUACUACAACAAGGAACCCUCAAGAUAUGUGAUUCUUCCUAUGCAAAAAAUUGUGCACGUCUCUCUCUAAUAACGACCCCCUCUGUUAAGAUUAACCAUGCGACCUGAUCCAUCCAUAUGGCUUCCCUUGGAAGUUGUACCACUCUGAUAUCUUGAGCCUUGACCCCCAAGAGUCCCUCGUGCCUGAUUAGUACGGUCCCUCGAUGUUUGACCAGAAGUUGAUCUACUACCGGCAUACCCUGUUCGGCCACCACUACUACCUUGCCUGCCUUGUGAGAAGGAGAAGUCCUGCCAUCUACCACCACCACCAGCUGCAGCAGCAUAAUCCUGGCCAUCCCUGCGCCUUGGUGGAAGGCCCUCCAAUGCACCACCACCAAUCCUCGAUUCUGUUGCUCUUUCAUUACUUUCUGCUAAAACUGACAGCUUUUCUGUCAACUGGAAUGCCAAAGCUUGCAAUCUUGUAUGCUCAACAUCAUGAAAGACCAUGCAUUGGGAUGGUUGAUCCCAGCUUGCAUGAAGCUCCUCAGAAAUCAUCAUUUUGCUCACAAUGCUAUGGAUCUGAGAAACUGAAAGGUCAAACAUCCCUGCAACCUGAUCCAAACUCAGAGAAUUAUAAGAAGCAGAAUAUGUGAAAAGGUAGGUCCUCAGUGCCUCUUCCUUUAUUUUGCCUCUAAGCAUCUCAAGAACACUGUCCUUGUUGCGAAGCAGCCUCCACACAUCAAGGGAGUUGAUGACAUCAAAAGCCUUCUGAAAGUCUCCUUGCCUCAGGGACCUUGUCGCGGCCAUGACGUGGUCCCUCACAUUUUCAGGUGGACCAGUAAAAGUUUGCCUCUCACUGAUUUCAAGCAAUCUCCGGAAUGUUUUGCUUAUGACCCUGCGCUUCAUGUCAUGGCUAUUAGCUGCCAUGUUUGGCACUUCAAGAAGCAUUGCACAUGUCAGAUGGACAGCCUCAAGAAGUUCAAGAUUUAUAUGCAUAUGGUAGGGCAUCUGACGCCUCCUCUCCAUCCGCUCCUAACAGUGUUCAAUAUGUACAGUUUAGAAGCUUUGGCAAGAAACAUAAUGAAGAAUUCCAGCCAAUAUCAAUGAGAGAGUUGAAAGUACAAUUUGAUAUAAAAUACUACAUGAUUAUUUGAAUAACCUCUAAACUCCCACAUAUGUCGAGAAUUAUAUCCGGCAGGGUCCUCUGACCACAUGUGGAGAAAGCAAAAUAAAUAAUAAAUGAUUUAAUCCGAAGCUAUUCGAGUAUAGGUGACACAUUUUGAUUGCUAAAACACACAUCCAAAUCUGUUUAUAACUCCAUAACAGUAAUAUUGAUUGCUCUAUCAUUGACACAGAAAAUAAUUGAUCAUAACCCUUAAUGGAUAGUUCUCAUUAAUAAACCCAUUUUUCAUGAGUUCCUUCAAUCAAAUGGGAAACACAAAACAAUAACAAAUGUUCCAAUUCAAAUAUGUUCAAGUCACACAUUCGAUAACAAAAAAACCGUCAGCAAAACUUCACAACUCCAUAAGUGUAAUAUUUGACUUCUCUGCUGUGGUUAAAGUGCACUGAUACAGCAAGACGGAAUCACCGGACAGACUGAAGGCUUUAGAGUUUAUUUUGAUCUCUUCCCCUUUUUUGAGAUCUAUCUCAAAGUUUCAAUAAAGAACAUAGUCAGCAUAAAGAGGUAACAACUUCUGCCUACCUUAUCGUAGUGCUUUAGAAGCGCGUAGAGAGGAUGCAGAGGACUUGUGAAUCAAGUAAAUGGAAGAACAUUAUCAGAAGAAAAGUCGAGGUGAAAUAGGCAUCGAGAACCUUAAGAACCAGAGCAAAGCUGCUAAAGUGAAAUUGCAAUGGAGAUAUUCCCAGGAAUCUCAAACUCUUAAAUGUUGAGUAAUCAAAACAAAAUAUGAGGAGCUGGACAACUGGGUUUCUAAAGAAGUUACUACAUUUUAUGGUGUUAGCCUCUGGAGAUGCAUUAGGUCCUAUUGGCCAUUCCUCAGAAGUCAGUCUAAUAUCAAGGUCGACAAUGGCAACCAGACACUUUUUUUGGGCAGACAAGUAGAUGGGUCUUGUCAGGUUAGAAGUUCUAUUCCCUGACAUCUAUGCUUUCGCCCAACAUCAACACAGGACUCUUGAAUGGCUGGGAAAUUCCAAGAUAGACUGACGUAUAUAAAAGCAUUUGGAAACUUUUCAUGGAAUACAAAUUGGAGUGGAUUGUUUAUGGUGGAAUGGAGAUGGCAAAAGUAUAUAAUGAAGGUGAAGGUGGGAUACAAGAAUUGAAAUCAAGCUAAACCACAGAUCACUAAUUGGCCUUGGGAACACAUCUGGAAAAUCAAAGUGCCUCACAAAGUGGCCUGUUUCACAUGGCUUAUACCUAAUGAGGCUGUUCUAACUCAUGAUAAUCUAUCAAAGAGGAGAAUUUCCCAAUGUUCAAAUGGUUUUUUUAACGGAAAAGGAUCAAAACUACCCUUCAACUAUUUGAAAUAGAGCAAAUAUACCCUUCAACUAUGUUUUGGCUCAAAACUACCCCUUCCGUCUUACUAUUGGAUCACUUCUACCCUUCCUUUUAACAGAAUAAGAUGUGGCAUUCAAUGUGUAUAUAAUACUGCCACAUAAACGUCCACCUAACCUAAUCCAUCCCCACCGAUUAAAAGGUAAGGAGAUUGAACACCCGUCUCCAAAUGUUCAUUAUCAUAGCGAAAUUCCAUUCUCUCCGGCGAACGAGACUGAACACUGGAGUUAUAAGUUAUAACCAUUAAUUAUCUCAUCCGAAUAAUGGAUCUCUCUAAUGUUGACAGAAUAAUGGUGGUAAAAUCGUUAUUUCAUCCUUCCGGAUAAUGGUUGUCCAUUGUUGCCGGCGAUAGAGAAGGCACAAAGCUGCCAGAAUCACGCAAAUAGUUUGAAAAAUCAUAGUAGCCUUUGCAUUUCUUGCAAGAUCUCAAAACUGUACCAUCGCAGAACAACAUGGUGAUGGUAAAUGUAACAGGAUCCGUCAAGUUGUGAGAACAAAGUUAUAUUGUUAGAAGCCACAGAAACGGAAACUAAAACGGAAGUCAAACUUAACAACUACGGCCGUUUGAUGGUGAACGCAUUAGCAACAACAGUGAAUCGUCUUCUCCUUAAUGUUCUAAUUAUGUAAUCAAGAAGAGAUUGAUGGUCCAAUACACCGUCAAUUCCAUGAAAGGUGAAAAGAUUGUUCACUAAGGUCAGAUUGCUGAUUUUAACAAAUCAAAUUGAAUUAUUUGUCGAAGAAACCCAUAGUUGUCCAGUGGAGCUUUUGAAGAAGAAGAGCAAUAGUUAUCAAACAAAUAUGGGGAAUCUUUGUGCUAUUGAGAUUGGAUAAAAGGUUGACCCUAGUAAGAAGGGUUUUGAGAGUGUUCUAAAGGAAGAGAGAGGAGGGCCUGGUAAGGAUGAGCAAAUCUUGGCAGAUUGGCAGGGAAUGAAGGGGGAGGUUGGAUCAAUUAGUGGGAUGGGGCGGGUAUGCUUAGGUGGAUGUUUAUGUGGCAUUACAAUUUACACAUGGAAUGCCACAUCUUAUUCUGUUAAUGCCACAUCAUAUUCCGUUAAAUAAAAGGGUAGAAGUGAACCAAAAGUUAGACAGGAAGGGCAAUUUUGAGCCAAAAUAUAGUUUUUCAAAUAGUUGAAUGCAGUUUUGACCCUUUUCCGUAUUUUUUAUGAGGAAGGCAUGCUGAUACAGUUAAGACAUCUUUUUUACAUUGUAACAUCACUGAUCAAUUGUGGAAGAUUUUUAUCAAUCUCACAGGCAUCUCAUGGGCACUGCCGUGUAAGAUAGUUGACAAUAUGUUCAGUUGGGGCCAGAAACAGAGAUAGAAGGAGGAUUAUCCCAGCAUGUAUUGAUGGACUAUGGAUAGAAAGAAAUGCCAGAUAUUUUGAAGAUGGGCGUAAUGAUGUGCAGAAGAUUAAAAUAGGCAUAAUACAUAAAUAUGUCCUUUAACUUGGCUUCGAAUCACAUUUAUGUCCUUCAAUUUUGGGUGUGCACAAGUAGACACUGGAACUUGUAUAAAGUUGAACAAAUAGACACACAUGUCCUACAUGUCAUUUUUCGUCCUGCGUGGUGUCUUGCGUGUAUUUUGCCAUGUAGGACUCAUGUGUUUAUUUAUUUAAAAGUUGGAUAGUUAAAGUGCAUGUUUGUGCAUUAUGAAAGUUAGAGGUCAAAGUUAAAAUUAGAAGUCAAGUUUAGGGUCCAAUAUAUGUAUUAUGCCAUUAAAAUAUAUUGUUAAUCUGCUUUUGGUGUACAAAGGUUUAUUCAGAUGAGACUGUUCAGGAUUGCAGCCUCCAUUUUGAAUUUAUUUUCUUUUCUCUAUUCGUAAUUAUGGAUUUUCCAGAACAAACUAAGUAAAUUUAAUACAAAUGCUACCAGAUUUUAAAAAACAAUAUUACUAGAUGAUAGAUUUUAUGCAAUGUCUUUUCCUCUAUCCGAUCUGUCUAGCUGUCAAAAAAGGGUAUCUCUUCAUUACAACAGUACAGAUUAAACAAAAAAGAUCUUUUGACUCUCCCUACAUCUUUCUCUAGACUAUUUUUUCUCCCCUCCUCCCCUACUAUGUGACUGAAGCACUGUCAAGAUCUUUAACUGUCCUUCUACCCUACUAUGUGACUAUACAAAUUGUGGCAAUACACUGGCCAAACGAACACUCUAAAGUAGAUACAAGCUACUAGCCAAAUACAAUUAUUAUGAAGAUUAAUGAAGAAACUAAUUUAAAAACGUAAUAUUUUAGUGACACAAAAUGGCAUGAAAUAAGAAUAAAUGUCUUACAUAAAAGACCAAACAAAGAACAUUUUCAGGAAGAUACCUGUUCUGGAGUCUUCUCAUGAUAUCGGCUUUGGGAGACACCUUGCGCAAGUAACUCCUUCACCCUGCCAGCAGAAUAGAGUUCAGCAAGGCAACCAUGCGCUUCUGCAACAAGUGCCAUCCUGAACGCACAGAGCCCAAGUUGAGCCAUCGCUCUGUUAAAAAGUAUCUGAGUUGAAAUGUCCAUGUGCUGGAUAUUUUCCUGCAAGUGACUCAUCAAUAACAAGUCACGGGAUGUUGAAAACUCAUCCAAGAUAGCAUGGUGAUAUAUAUCACAGAGCAUUGCACGGGCCUUGGUUCGUUCAUCUCCAUAUUUAUAUAUGAGAGAAACGAGACUGUCCAUCAAUGUCCUGCUGUUCUCUUCAAAAGCAGGUUUCCUGGGCACAAGUUCAGGAGUUGCAAUAAAUGCAGAUGGACCUCUACUCUCCUCAACCACUUUGUUUUCUUCUACAGACUCUGCUUCUCCACCUUCUGUGAGCUCAGCCAAUUUCCUCAUAGCAUCAUACACUCCUUGCGGUUUAUAAUAGAUAAAUUCAACCUGUUUAAGAGCCACUUUGGCAGCACCCUUAUAGUCACCCACCUGUUCUAAAUAACGCUGGACAUUUUGAGCAAGAACCAAAAACAACGGCUCAUCCCUCAGCCUCUCAACAUACUGGCUGGUAUGUGGAUCAAUUACCUGCAAGCUCUUGAAAAACUCUACAUCAAUCCUUUCAACAAAGGCAACCAAGUUUCCCCAGAUCCUUAUAGUUCCUGAGUGGUCUGCUCCUUUCUGAGUCUCAUUCUCAUCAGGCUCCACCAUGUCAUCAACCACAAUGUUUGGGUAUUGGGUCAAAACAUCAAGGAUUGUAAGCAUAUUUUGCACACACCUUUUCCACACAUUUAUAGGCAUGUGUCCACUGAGACCUGGAUUGAUAUCAAACUGGGCAGACACAACACCAAACAGAAUUUCAAGCUUCUGUGCUGGAGUCUUGGCCACCUUGGUCAAGAAGGUGAGCUGUUCGACCAAUUCCAUCUUUCCAGUCCCCUUUCUACCCCUAGCAGCAACGAUUUCCUUGAACUUCUUGUUGACUGUCUCCCACGUGAUUUGACUCGGAUCUUUAAACUGUUUAUCCAGAAGUUUGUCUUUCUU